This 517-nucleotide ribosomal RNA is filed under the name uncultured bacterium. Its description in RNAcentral is "bacterial SSU rRNA". It matches the Rfam family "Bacterial small subunit ribosomal RNA", at positions 43 to 569 of the family's 1533-position model. The record is from RNAcentral.
CGGGCGUACCAUGCAAGUCGAACGAUUCUUAAGUAGCUUGCUAUUUAAGAAGAGUGGCGAACGGGUGAGUAACACGUGAGUAAUCUGCCCUCGAGUGGGGAACAACCUCGCGAAAGCGGGGCUAAUACCGCAUAAUACCCUGGGACACAAGUCCCCUGGUCAAAGCCUUCGGGCGCUUGAGGAUGAGCUUGCGCGCUAUUAGCUAGUUGGUGGGGUAACGGCCUACCAAGGUGACGAUGGCUAGCCGGCCUGAGAGGGUGUACGGCCACACUGGAACUUAGACACGGUCCAGACUCCUACGGGAGGCAGCAGUGGGGAAUUUUGCGCAAUGGGCGAAAGCCUGACGCAGCGACGCCGCGUGGAGGAUGAAGGCCUUCGGGUUGUAAACUCCUGUCAGAGGUGAAGAAGCCUUCGGGUUGACGGUAACCUCAGAGGAAGCCCCGGCUAACUACGUGCCAGCAGCCGCGGUAAUACGUAGGGGGCGAACGUUGCUCGGAAUUACUGGGCGUAAAGGGUG